AGAGUUUGAUCCUGGCUCAGAUUGAACUUUGGCGGCAGGCCUAACACAUGCAAGUCGAACGGUAACAGGAAGCAGCUUGCUGCUUCGCUGACGAGUGGCGGACGGGUGAGUAAUGUCUGGGAAACUGCCUGAUGGAGGGGGAUAACUACUGGAAACGGUAGCUAAUACCGCAUAACGUCGCAAGACCAAAGAGGGGGACCUUCGGGCCUCUUGCCAUCGGAUGUGCCCAGAUGGGAUUAGCUUGUUGGUGGGGUAACGGCUCACCAAGGCGACGAUCCCUAGCUGGUCUGAGAGGAUGACCAGCCACACUGGAACUGAGACACGGUCCAGACUCCUACGGGAGGCAGCAGUGGGGAAUAUUGCACAAUGGGCGCAAGCCUGAUGCAGCCAUGCCGCGUGUAUGAAGAAGGCCUUCGGGUUGUAAAGUACUUUCAGCGGGGAGGAAGGGAGUAAAGUUAAUACCUUUGCUCAUUGACGUUACCCGCAGAAGAAGCACCGGCUAACUCCGUGCCAGCAGCCGCGGUAAUACGGAGGGUGCAAGCGUUAAUCGGAAUUACUGGGCGUAAAGCGCACGCAGGCGGUUUGUUAAGUCAGAUGUGAAAUCCCCGGGCUCAACCUGGGAACUGCAUCUGAUACUGGCAAGCUUGAGUCUCGUAGAGGGGGGUAGAACUCCAGGUGUAGCGGUGAAAUGCGUAGAGAUCUGGAGGAAUACCGGUGGCGAAGGCGGCCCCCUGGACGAAGACUGACGCUCAGGUGCGAAAGCGUGGGGAGCAAACAGGAUUAGAUACCCUGGUAGUCCACGCCGUAAACGAUGUCGACUUGGAGGUUGUGCCCUUGAGGCGUGGCUUCCGGAGCUAACGCGUUAAGUCGACCGCCUGGGGAGUACGGCCGCAAGGUUAAAACUCAAAUGAAUUGACGGGGGCCCGCACAAGCGGUGGAGCAUGUGGUUUAAUUCGAUGCAACGCGAAGAACCUUACCUGGUCUUGACAUCCACGGAAGUUUUCAGAGAUGAGAAUGUGCCUUCGGGAACCGUGAGACAGGUGCUGCAUGGCUGUCGUCAGCUCGUGUUGUGAAAUGUUGGGUUAAGUCCCGCAACGAGCGCAACCCUUAUCCUUUGUUGCCAGCGGUCCGGCCGGGAACUCAAAGGAGACUGCCAGUGAUAAACUGGAGGAAGGUGGGGAUGACGUCAAGUCAUCAUGGCCCUUACGACCAGGGCUACACACGUGCUACAAUGGCGCAUACAAAGAGAAGCGACCUCGCGAGAGCAAGCGGACCUCAUAAAGUGCGUCGUAGUCCGGAUUGGAGUCUGCAACUCGACUCCAUGAAGUCGGAAUCGCUAGUAAUCGUGGAUCAGAAUGCCACGGUGAAUACGUUCCCGGGCCUUGCACUCACCGCCCGUCA
RNAcentral lists this ribosomal RNA (1401 nucleotides) under uncultured bacterium. RNAcentral describes it as "bacterial SSU rRNA". It matches the Rfam family "Bacterial small subunit ribosomal RNA". The record is from RNAcentral.